RNAcentral lists this ribosomal RNA (93 nucleotides) under Volucribacter psittacicida. Its description in RNAcentral is "partial 16S ribosomal RNA". It matches the Rfam family "Bacterial small subunit ribosomal RNA", at positions 1 to 86 of the family's 1533-position model. The record is from RNAcentral. Lineage: Bacteria; Pseudomonadati; Pseudomonadota; Gammaproteobacteria; Pasteurellales; Pasteurellaceae.
UUAAACUGAAGAGUUUGAUCAUGGCUCAGAUUGAACGCUGGCGGCAGGCUUAACACAUGCAAGUCGAACGGUAACGGGAAAGAAACUUGUUUC